Molecule: ribosomal RNA, 455 nt
Filed under: uncultured bacterium
Lineage: Bacteria
Description: bacterial SSU rRNA
Rfam family: Bacterial small subunit ribosomal RNA
Source: RNAcentral
UACGGAAGGCAGCAGUGGGGAAUAUUGCACAAUGGGCGAAAGCCUGAUGCAGCUAUGCCGCGUGUAUGAAGAAGGCCUUAGGGUUGUAAAGUACUUUCAUCGGGGAGGAAAAACAAAACUAAUAAUUUUAUUUCUUGACGUUACCCGAAAAAGAAGCACCGGCUAACUCCGUGCUAGCAGCCGCGGUAAUACGGAGGGUGCUAGCGUUAAUCAGAAUUACUGGGCGUAAAGAGCACGUAGGUGGUUUUUUUAAGUCAGAUGUGAAAUCCCUGGGCUUAACCUAGGAACUGCAUUUUGAAACUGAAAUACUAGAGUAUCGUAGAGGGAGGUAGAAUUCUAGGUGUAGCGGUGAAAUGCGUAGAUAUCUGGAGGAAUACCUGUGGCGAAAGCGGCCUCCUAAACGAAUACUGACACUGAGGUGCGAAAGCGUGGGGAGCAAACAGGGAUUAGAUACC